This 253-nucleotide ribosomal RNA is filed under the name uncultured bacterium. RNAcentral's name for it is "partial 16S ribosomal RNA". It matches the Rfam family "Bacterial small subunit ribosomal RNA", at positions 524 to 776 of the family's 1533-position model. The record is from RNAcentral.
UACGGGGGGGGCAAGCGUUGUUCGGAAUUACUGGGCGUAAAGAGUGUGUAGGCGGUGCUCUAAGUCUGUUGUGAAAUCUCCCGGCUUAACUGGGAGGGUGCGGCGGAGACUGGAGUGCUAGAGUGUGGGAGAGGUAAGCGGAAUUCCUGGUGUAGCGGUGAAAUGCGUAGAUAUCAGGAGGAACACCUGUGGUGUAGACAGCUUACUGGACCACGACUGACGCUGAGACACGAAAGCGUGGGUAGCAAACAGG